RNAcentral lists this long non-coding RNA (6547 nucleotides) under Homo sapiens (human). RNAcentral describes it as "HSALNT0301004". Lineage: Eukaryota; Metazoa; Chordata; Mammalia; Primates; Hominidae. The record is from RNAcentral.
ACUGGACUCAGCACUGGCACAGAGGCAGCACAGCUAUGUGGGAAGAACACAGGCUGGUCUGCAGGUGUCUAGAUUUGGAUCCUAGCUCUGUUACUUACUACUUUGUGACUUUGAGCAAAUUCACGUCUCUGAAAGGUCAGUUUUCCUUCUGUAAAAUAUCCCAACUUCUGUUGUAGAAUUAUUAUUAUAAAUAAAUAGUAACAUAUAUAUAAUAGUAACAUAUAUAAAUAGUAACAUAUAUGUAUAUAUAUGUGUGUGUAUAUAUAUGUGUAUCUAUAUAUGUGUGUGUGUAUAUAUAUAUAUAUAUAUGUAUAUAAUGUCUACCUGUAUUGUUGCUAGGGGCUGCCCUGGACUAUGUUUAUUACUUUCUGUUGUACCUAAGAUGGCAUUUUUUGUCCUCAAAAAAAAAAAAAAAAAUAGUACUCUUUAGGGAGAGACCGGAAAAAAAUGGUGAGUACUGUCUUUGUUCCAGGAUUUUACAGGGAAAGAUGAGGCAGCUUUAUAUUAUAUUGUAGUCAGUUUAAAAUUUUUCUAUUGUUUGUUUCAAUGAUGAAAAAAUCCAAAGAAAAAACCUAGAAAGAAAAAUCAAUAGCUUUGUACAAAUAUAGUAUGACAAUUGAGAACAACUGGUUUUGCUGUUAAAUGUGUCUUAAACUAGGAAACUCAGGGUUUUGUCAAAUGGUAUCAGAAUGAGAAACAGACUUAAUUUUCUUUUUGGGUCCAAUGGCUACAUAUGUUCUUCAACAGUUGGAAAGCCACUGUAUCCAGGUGAAGUAAUUUUGCUCAGGAAUUAAUUGAAGAUCACGGAGGUACUGUGAAACCAAGAUAUAGAAGAGUCAGUUUCAAAUGGUCUUUUUUAGUGAACAACAACAGCAAAAUCUGACAACUACCAAAAAAAUUGAGAUGGCUGUAGCCUGUGGUAGGGAGAGCAAACAGGAUGGAUGAGCAAAACCACAGUAGUUUGAGUUUUAUGUGAAGGUGAUGAUAAAUAAGGAAUAUUAAUCUCUAUUUUCAGAGAAGCCCUCUCAUCUCAUGUUUGUUCAUGGGUACAUUGUUGUUCCCAAAGACUGCCCGUUAUUACUUUGUUAUUACAAUCAUGUAGUGUAUACAGUGGUAGUACUACUAUGUGCACUGUGUUUUUGUGCAUAAUAGGCUUUUAAUUUGUUCUUUCAAUAAAUAUUCAUUGGAUACCUGUUAUGAGUUAGGGGCUGACAGUACAAUGGCAAAGAGGCAGACAAAAAUCCCUGCCCUCAUGAGGCUUAGAUUAGAGUAGAAGAAAGCAGACAAUAAACAAAUUAAGAAAAGAUUUAGUAUGCUGGAAGAUAAUAAAUGGCAUGGAGGAAAAUAAAGCAGGACAAAGGGAUAAUGUGUGUGUGUGUUUGGGGGGAUGGCUCAUUCAUUGAGGAGGUCAUAUUAGAGCAAACAUCUGAAGGAGGUCUGUGAGUUAGUUAUAGUGAGUGUCUGGAAAAGGUGGAGGCUUCGAUAUAGAGAGACCAGCAAGUGUACAGGCUUUGCAUGGGCUUUUGAGUGGUCUCUCGUGUUUGAAUAAUAGCAAGGAGGCUAGUGUUCCUGGAGCAGAGUGAGUGAGGGGAGAGGAAGAGAUGUCAGAGAUCACAGGGGGUCAGAUCAUAAAGACCUUCUAAGCCUCUUCUAAGUUCGUUACUUGGAGCAAAAUAGGAAGCCAACACAGGGCUUUGAGAGAAGACUGAUAUGAUUUGACCUAUUUUUAAAGGUUCAGUGUAGCUUCUGUACUGAGAGUAAAAUAUAAGGGGGCUAGAGAGGAAACACAAAGACUAAUAAUCCAUUAAACAGAGCUAAGUUAGUGGGUUGCUCACUUGCUUCCUUAUAAAUGUUGUGCCAGAGAGAAGAUUAGUGGCAAAUACCCAUUAAACCUCUGUGAGAUUGGAAGGGUUGGCUUCCUCGAGGGGAACGUGAGUUUCUUUUGGCAGAUAAGGAAAUACUCCUCGGUGAUACAGAGGCGUCCUUUCUCUUAUUAGUGGUGACUUGGUGACAGGAAAGUGAAGUUGCAGGCUCUGGCCCACCUGAAUGUUUCAGAUCUAUUUCUGGAAAACAGGUAUUAGGAGGUAUGCAAGGAGCCUCUUUCUAUUAUUUCAACUUAAAAGUUCCCUAAUUGGAUUGAGUUCAAGUUCUGUGUCAUGGUUCUGUUUUGCUGGGAGAAGCUAAUAAAGAAGGAAGCUGCGGAUUCUUCGUUGUAGGACAAAUGGAGUGCAGCAAUUAGGCAGUACUGUCCCUCCACUGGACAAAAGCCUUAAGCAGCUCAGGCAAACACCAAACAAAAACCUGUCACAUGCACACAGAUGUAGAUGCCUGGUGAAAUCUUAGAAAAUGUAUUCACAUUUAUUCUCUGGCAGUAAUAUUCUUUUCACAAAGCAUUCCACACUAUGAUAGCUGUAUCAUUAGUCUGAUAAUCUCAAGUUAAUUCUCUGUUGCUUUUUAUAUGGUGUGCUCAGUGUAUUGGUUUAGAGAAAAAGGCUGAAGAGCUUAAAGAGAUUGGUCUAAGAAAUUGCAGGUUAGCUGGGAAAGGAGAAUAGACUACCGUUAGAAAAACGUAUAGUUAAAUCCAAAGGGAGCGAUUGUCUUUGGAUAAAUGGAUUUCUACACGUGUUCAGUAGAUGGUGAGUAAUUCCCACGUGUUCCACCCUGUGCUAGAUACAUGGGAAUUCAACAGGGUGUCUGCCCCAGAGAUGCUAAUAUCUCUUAGGAGAGAUGAUUACAUUGACACAUGACACCAUAUGAACAAUUUUCUGUCCAACCUAUGGGUGGUAUGGGUGGGGGGAUUCUUAAUGAGUCUUUCCCCUAACAAUUAGCCAUAUAUCUUUACAGUGGAGACCAGAUAUAAAGAAACAGUAAACACAGCAAUUCAAAAUUCAAUACUAGCCAUUCCUUUAUGUCUAAUAUCAGAUGACCCCUUCAGAGCAUUUUGUCUUAUAAUAUUCUGCACCUAUAGUUUUGUUUUCUACUUCUCAAUCAAGUAGCUAAUAAAUAUCAGGGUACCAUCUAGCUGUCUUAAAAUGCUAUAGCUUCUUUCUUAAUCAUUCCACAUUAUUGAAUAUUGGUUGGUAUAUAACUUAGCAUAGAACUGGUGGUUUUGUUAAGCACAAAAUUUCAGUGGCUUAAAGAAUGCAAUGAAAGUCUAUUUCUUGCUCAUUUAAAGGUCUGGUGCAAAUGUUCGUGGUUUCCAGGUAACUUUCUUCCAUGUGGUGAUUCAGGAACCUAGGAUGUUUCCACUUGAGGCUCUACUGCCCCCUCAGGUCUUGGAGUCUUCUGUGUUCAGUCAGCGGACGGAAAAAGAGAGUAGAGAAUAGAUAGUUCCUACCUGAGCAGUCACUUCCUCUUCUAUGGGAAGAAAGCACUUAGCUGAUCUUUGUAUGUAUGAUUUCUAUUUUUUGUAAGUUGCCAAUGGCAGUACUUUUAAAUAGCUUUGCACAAAUGGAUUUUUUUUCUAUUUUAGAUUAAUGUAUUUGAGAUGUAUUUCUAGAAGUAAGUGUAUUAGAUAGGUUUUAAUUAUAAAAUUAUAUUGAAUUAUAUUUUAUUUAAUACAUCAAUUAAAAUCAUAAUUUAUAUACCUGUAAAGUUAUUGGAUAUGAACCAUCUCACUUCAUUAUUGUUCAGGCUCAGCUGAAGAAUAUCUUUGCUAGCCUAUAUCCAGGAUAAUGAAUACCAUGAGAAAACAGCCAUAUUAUAUUGUCAUAUUUAACUGAAGAAAACGCUAUUGCUACUAUACUUUAUUCAACUCAAAACAUGAGUUACCUAAUUUAACAAAAGAGAUACACAUACUGAUAGACUAAAAUGAUUUUACCAGUAUAUGUGAUUUGAAAAGAAAAUUAGAACAUAUGUCUAAUAGUCUUUACAUUCCUUUUGUUUAUUUAUAGACAGAAGAAGAAAGAUAUGAUUUCAGGCUUCUUAAUUUAGACUGAAUCUGCCCCAAAGCAGGAAACAUUCUUCCUACACACAUUAAAAGUUACUAUUUGGAGGCCGGGCGCGGUGGCUCACGCCUAUAAUCUCAGCACUUUGGGAAGCCAAGGCAGGCGGAUCACGAGGUCAGGAGAUCGAGACCAUCCUGGCUAACACGGUGAAACCCCGUCUCUGCUAAAAAUACAAAAAUAAAUUAGCCGGGCGUGGUGGCAGGCGCCUGUAGUCCCAGCUACUCGGGGGGCUGAGGCAGGAGAAUGGCGUGAACCUGGGAGGCGGAGCUUGCAGUGAGUCGAGACCGCGCCACAGCACUACAGCCUGGGCGACAGAGCAAGACUCCAUCUCAAAAAAAAAAAAAAAAAAAAAAGAGUUACUAUUUGGAAAAGGUAAUCCUUUUCAUAACUUGAGAUGAAACCAGAUAUGUGAAUGAAGUUGAGCAGAUCACCAAUAUGAGGGAUUUUCAUUUUGUUUUGUUUUGGUAUUUCUGGCAUAAUUAAAACAAGACUAAAGGCUGAGACUGGGAUCUAUUUUGUGUUAACUAAGAUAAUAAAAAAAAACAUUGCUUUAUAGUAAAAAUUAAGAAGUUUGCAUAAGAAACGAUGGGGUUGGAAAAAUUUCUACCAGAAUUAUUUUGGGGAAAAACACCCCAAACAUCUCAAAUAUUUGUAGAACUCAUUCCAAUUUAUAAAGCUCUCUCUACUUUGACAAGCUAUAUCAUUAAAUAACUACAGGUGGAAAGCAUAUGGAAAAAUGUUCUCAUUUGUUAGUUAUAAAAUGUUUUCAUUGAAUUAGCAACCCUCCACAAAUUUGGUAGGGCCCAGAGAAUUCAGAGACACUCUUGAAUUACUGGGGGGUGUUGUAGAGUAGUACUGACUGAAGAUGUUCCCAGCACAUAGCUAAGUGCCUGACAUGCACUGUGCUACCUGUGAACAAUGGAUCUCAUCCUCACAGUAUCUGCAGGGCCCUUGAGGGCUGCCACAUGGCAAUCAACAAUCCAUCAUGGCUGCUUCCUGCAUGACUUGAUGUGGCGUCUGAUGAACAUGAGCCUUGACAAACUUCUCUCACUCUGUUCAGAUUGCUGCCCAUCUGCCAAGACCUCCGGGUCUGGGACUGCACUCCACUUAGGUCUCUGUUUCUGGCGUUCCUCACAUUUAUGUAUUUAUUUUUCCCGUCAUUAAUAUUUCUUUUUAAAUAAAGUAGACUAUUUUACUGCUUCUUGAAUAGUAUAGUAUUCUUCUUUUAAGUUAUGGCAUCUUUUUGUAAAUACUAUGUGGUUCUGUUUUGCUUUGUACACUCAUUCUUGAUUAAAAUGAUAUUUUUUUCAAGAUCUAACAUUUGCUAAUACCCAGGUUGAAUGAUUUUUCCUAGUUCUCACUACUUACUUGUUCUCUUUUAAAGUCAUCUUUAAGAUAAUUUUUCAAAGUUGAAAAAAAUUAAUACAUACGCUAAUAAGUAAUUAAAUUAGAACAAGAAGAUCUGUCUGCUUGAUGCCCACAUCCACCAUUUACUAGCUGCAUAAAUCUGAGCAAAUUACUUAACUUUUUUAACAAUCUGGGAAAUAGGGAUGAAAAUAUUCAUUUCAUAGUGGGUUGUGAAGAUCAAUGUUAAAGUCAUAUAAGAACGUGCUUUACAAAUGGUAAAUUGCUAUAUAUAGAUGUUAAUUAUUAUUGUCAAUAAUGGAAGAUAUAUUAGCACUUUUUCCUACCAUAUUUUGGGAUGGAGAGUGGGGAGAUAGUUUCAGCUACUUAAUGUCUAUUUGUUUAUUUAUUUAUUUAAACUCAAGUCAGAAUUUUUCUGAGAACUAUGGAAAACUUGAAUAUACAUGAAGGAGAAACCUUUGAACCUUGUGGUGAAAAAGUGAGAGGAGGCAGUGGCAGAGAAAUAAAUGGAGAAGAUCUUUUAUUAAGAAAUUGGCUUCUCAAGCCACACUUACUUACAGUUCUUUGUAUAUCUUUCCAGAACUAUUCCAUUCACUGUGAACUAUGUGUGAAUCGCUUUUGAAAGAGUCAGACACAAAUGCAAGCAUACCAUAUGCUCUACUGCACUUUAUGCACUGGACAAUAUCUAUUUGAAAUCACUUUCCAUUCAUAGGAAUCUGCUUCAUUCCUUUUUAAAAUUAUUAUUUAAAUACAUUCAAUUGUGUAUAUUUAAGGUAUACAACAUGAUGUUAUAAGUUACAUACAGGCAGUAAAAUGAUAACUAUAGAGAAACAAAUUAACAUAUCCAUCAUCUCACAUAGUUAUCCAUUUUUGUGGUAAGGGCAGCUAAAAUCUAAUCAAUUUGCAAAAAUCCCAGAUACAAUUUUAUUAAUUGUAGUUCUCCUUUUGUUUAUUAGAUCUCUAGAUUUGCUCAUCUUACAUAUCUGCUGCUUUGUAUCUUCUGACCUACGUCUUUCCAUUUCCUCUCCAACCCUUCACCCCUGGUAACCACUGUUUAAUUCUCUAUUUCUGUAUAUUUAGCUUUUUAAAGAUAUAUUCCACAUAUGAGUGAAAUCAUGCAAUAUUUUUCUUUUAAUAGUUUCAUGACAUUCUUUUAUGUGGAUAUAAAUAUAGUUUAUAAAAAACAGCCUACUUGAUAUAUUAUUAAACAUUUUUUAUAUUAUUAGCACUGCUGC